RNAcentral lists this ribosomal RNA (1255 nucleotides) under uncultured bacterium. RNAcentral's name for it is "bacterial SSU rRNA". It matches the Rfam family "Bacterial small subunit ribosomal RNA", at positions 64 to 1343 of the family's 1533-position model. The record is from RNAcentral.
GAACGAUUAAACCGCCCUCGGGCGGACAUAGAGUGGCGAACGGGUGAGUAACACGUGACCAACCUGCCCCGCGCUCCGGGACAACCGCUGGAAACGGCGGCUAAUACCGGAUACUCCGGGAGGGCCCCAUGGCCCUGCCGGGAAAGCCGAGACGGCGCGGGAUGGGGUCGCGGCCCAUUAGGUAGACGGCGGGGUAACGGCCCACCGUGCCCGCGAUGGGUAGCCGGACUGAGAGGUCGACCGGCCACAUUGGGACUGAGAUACGGCCCAGACUCCUACGGGAGGCAGCAGUGGGGAAUUUUGCGCAAUGGGGGAAACCCUGACGCAGCAACGCCGCGUGCGGGACGAAGGCCCUCGGGUUGUAAACCGCUUUCAGCAGGGAAGAUCCAAGACGGUACCUGCAGAAGAAGCUCCGGCUAACUACGUGCCAGCAGCCGCGGUAAUACGUAGGGGGCGAGCGUUAUCCGGAUUCAUUGGGUGUAAAGCGCGCGUAGGCGGCCGCCUAAGCGGGACCUCUAACCCCGGGGCUCAACCCCGGGCCGGGUCCCGGACUGGGCGGCUCGAGUGCGGUAGAGGAGAGCGGAAUUCCCGGUGUAGCGGUGGAAUGCGCAGAUAUCGGGAAGAACCACCGAUGGGGAAGGCAGCUCUUUGGGCCGUCACUGACGCUGAGGCGCGAAAGCUGGGGGAGCGAACAGGAUUAGAUACCCUGGUAGUCCCAGCCGUAAACGAUGGGCGCUAGGUGUGGGGGGACGAUCCCUCCGUGCCGCAGCCAACGCAUUAAGCGCCCCGCCUGGGGAGUACGGCCGCAAGGCUAAAACUCAAAGGAAUUGACGGGGGCCCGCACAAGCAGCGGAGCAUGUGGCUUAAUUGGAAGCAACGCGAAGAACCUUACCAGGGCUUGACAUGCCGAUGAAGCCGGGGAGACCCGGUGGCCGAGAGGAGUCGGCGCAGGUGGUGCAUGGCUGUCGUCAGCUCGUGUCGUGAGAUGUUGGGUUAAGUCCCGCAACGAGCGCAACCCCCGCCCCGUGUUGCCAGCACUCAGUUGGGGACUCGCGGGGGACUGCCGGCGUCAAGCCGGAGGAAGGUGGGGACGACGUCAAGUCAUCAUGCCCCUUAUGCCCUGGGCUGCACACGUGCUACAAUGGCCGAUACAGAGGGUUGCCACCCCGCGAGGGGGAGCGGAUCCCGGAAAGCCGGUCCCAGUUCGGAUCGCAGGCUGCAACCCGCCUGCGUGAAGCCGGAGUUGCUAGUAAUC